CUGUUUUGGCCAUCAAAGUAAAACAAAUAUUUCUAUAAUCAAACUUCCUGAAUUUAGUUGUAUAACUCUGAAAUAGUUCAUUUGCUGUUGUGGACAUGACCAGUGUGCAUCAGCUUUCUGAUAUACGGAUUUGUGGAGCUUUCCAUCUUCAAUGAAUGUCCAUCUUUUAUAACCUGAUAGGAUAAACUUGAAAACCACGAAGAUGAUGAUGAUCAGAUUUGCACCCCUUUACCUCUCCAGUGCCAACAGAUGACUCAUGAGGCAAUUAAAUUGUAUGGUGGAUACAGUCCUGGACCUUGAGUUAGAAGAGAUCCUAGUUCAGAUCUGACUUCAAACACUUCGGCUAUGUGACCUUUGGUCAGUAACAGAAACUUUCUCUGCCUCAGUUUCUUGAUUUCUAAAAUGGGAUUAAUAAUAUAGCACCUACCUCCCAGGGUUAUUGUGAGGAUCAAAUGAGAUAAUAAUUGUAAAG
Molecule: long non-coding RNA, 472 nt
Filed under: Monodelphis domestica (gray short-tailed opossum)
Lineage: Eukaryota; Metazoa; Chordata; Mammalia; Didelphimorphia; Didelphidae
Description: lncRNA (ENSMODG00000025662.2)
Source: RNAcentral